This is a non-coding RNA of Apaloderma vittatum (bar-tailed trogon), 75 nucleotides long. NCBI's taxonomy places the organism in Eukaryota, Metazoa, Chordata, Aves, Trogoniformes, Trogonidae. The record is from Rfam.
GCUUUGAUUAGCUCAGUCAGUUAGAGCGUGAUGCUGAUAACACCAAGGUCACGGGUUCGAUUCCCGUUCGGUCCC